AUGAGAUCCCAGCCGCGUUCGGUGCCUUCCCCGGCGCCGGCGACCCCUGCCCGGCUGCUCGCCGCAUCCUCGGCCACCUGCGAGCUCCGGACGGCCCUCCCUGCUCCGCCGCUCGUCUUCUCUGAGCUGGAGCCGCCGCCACCACCACCUCCUCUGCUCCUGGUGGCGCCCUCCGUCCUGGAUCUUGAUUUGCAGCGGACUCCUCCACCGCACGCCUUCAAGGUCUCUGUGGCCCCUCCGGAGCUCCUGCUGGAAGGGGCGCUGCUGCCUGUGGCGAGCCCCUGCUCGGUCGUCACGACCAUUGCUGUCGAGGAGGAGCCCUCUCUGCCUUUAGCGCUUGCUCUGGCGCGGCCGGGCUCUCAGAGCUCCAAGGAGGUGCUCGCUCCCGACGCCGUUGUGCGGGCCUCGCGGCCGCCGCUGGCCGUGUCGUGGGUUUCCCUCGCUGAUGAAGUCUGCAGCAUUGACAACGACGAGGAGCUCGCCCCGCUGACGCCAUUGGCUGCCAGAUGCUCCGGCGGGGUGAGCGAUCCGGCUGCUCCUGCUGUUGUUGCUACUGCUCCUGAGGCAUCUUCGGAUCUAGGAUGGGUGAAGGUGGGGGGCCGAUGUCGUUCGGCGUCACCGGCCUUGGCUCUGGCUCCACGGCCAAUCCCCGCUUGGCUUCACGGUCGCUGCUGCAGAUGCCUCGCUCGUGGCCACCGUGCUGCGGUUUGUAGAGAUCCCUUCCGAUGCUCUCGUUGCUUGGAGAACGGUCAUCGUGCGUGCAACUGCCGCAACCCAUGGCGUCCUCUCAGUUCAUUGGCAUGUCCUGUCGUCCCGCCCGUCUCUCGCCCUGGCACCCAACAACAUCCACCUCCUCCUUCAAGAGAGGGCCAAAUGAAAUCCACGCUCCCCUUCACUGCGCUUUGCCGUGGGUCUUGGGCGUCUGUGGUUUCUGCUUCUGCUAGCCCGACAACCCCAUCUUCUAUGGUUCUUCAGACCGCCCUUGCUGAUCAGACCGGGUUGCUUCAAGGCUGGCAGGCACGAAUUGAGAGCUUCCUGGAGCGGGCAGAGGCUGCUUUGAGUAGGCUCUCCCUUGUGCCUGGUUUUAUAUGUUGCGGUGGAGCUGUCAGUUGGUGCAGUUCUAUGGUGCCUAUUCCCACGAGCCCCUUGGUUGACGACAACGACACCAAGAAAUUCAAUGAGUUUUACGAUUUUCUUGACAAAUGGGUGGCUCACCAGUCGACAUCUGGCAAGACAAGUGACCCUGCAAAGAAGAUGCCAAGUAAGGAGAAACCAAAGAAGAAGAAAAACAAGAAGUGUGGCGCCAUCCGAAAGGCGUCUGUGGUUUCAUGA
Molecule: ribosomal RNA, 1332 nt
Filed under: Triticum aestivum (bread wheat)
Lineage: Eukaryota; Viridiplantae; Streptophyta; Magnoliopsida; Poales; Poaceae
Description: partial small subunit ribosomal RNA
Source: RNAcentral